CCCUUAGAUGUUCUGGGCCGCACGCGCGCUACACUGAUGCAUUCAACAAGCCUAGCCUUGACCGAGAGGUCCGGGUAAUCUUUGAAACUGCAUCGUGAUGGGGCUAGAUUAUUGCAAUUAUUAAUCUUCAACGAGGAAUGCCUAGUAAGCGUGAUUCAUCAAAUCGCGUUGAUUACGUCCCUGCCCUUUGUACACACCGCCCGUCGCUACUACUGAUUGGAUGUUUAAGCGAGGUUCUCGAACUGCUAGCGACUUAGCUUCGGUGAGGUCGCAGUGUGGGAAGUGAACCUAGCUUUGGUGUCUAGAGGAAGUAAAAGUCGUAACA
This 325-nucleotide ribosomal RNA is filed under the name uncultured eukaryote. RNAcentral describes it as "partial 18S ribosomal RNA". It matches the Rfam family "Eukaryotic small subunit ribosomal RNA", at positions 1470 to 1796 of the family's 1831-position model. The record is from RNAcentral.